CGUAGGGUGCAAGCGUUAAUCGGAAUUACUGGGCGUAAAGCGUGCGCAGGCGGUUGUGUAAGUCUGUCGUGAAAUCCCCGGGCUCAACCUGGGAAUUGCGAUGGAGACUGCACGGCUAGAGUGUGUCAGAGGGGGUAGAAUUCCACGUGUAGCAGUGAAAUGCGUAGAUAUGUGGAGGAACACCGAUGGCGAAGGCAGCCCCCUGGGAUAACACUGACGCUCAUGCACGAAAGCGUGGGGAGCAAACAGGAUUAGAUACCCUGGUAGUCCACGCCCUAAACGAUGUCAACUAGUUGUCGGGUCUUAAUUGACUUGGUAACGCAGCUAACGCGUGAAGUUGACCGCCUGGGGAGUACGGUCGCAAGAUUA
This 369-nucleotide ribosomal RNA is filed under the name uncultured organism. RNAcentral describes it as "bacterial SSU rRNA". It matches the Rfam family "Bacterial small subunit ribosomal RNA", at positions 526 to 896 of the family's 1533-position model. The record is from RNAcentral.